AUUGAACGCUGGCGGCAGGCCUAACACAUGCAAGUCGAGCGGAUGAAGGGAGCUUGCUCCUGGAUUCAGCGGCGGACGGGUGAGUGAUGCCUAGGAAUAUGCCUGGUAGUGGGGGCUAACGUCAGGAAACGGGCGCUAAUACCGCAUACGUCAUGAGGGAGAAAGGGGGGGAUCUUCGGACCUCACGCGAUCAGAUGAGCCUAGGUCGGAUUAGCUAGUUGGUGGGGUAAAGGCCUACCAAGGCGACGAUCCGUAACUGGUCUGAGAGGAUGAUCAGUCACACUGGAACUGAGACACGGUCCAGACUCCUACGGGAGGCAGCAGUGGGGAAUAUUGGACAAUGGGCGAAAGCCUGAUCCAGCCAUGCCGCGUGUGUGAAGAAGGUCUUCGGAUUGUAAAGCACUUUAAGUUGGGAGGAAGGACAGUAAGUUAAUACCUGGCUGUUUUGACGUUACCAACAGAAUAAGCACCGGCUAACUUCGUG
RNAcentral lists this ribosomal RNA (484 nucleotides) under uncultured bacterium. RNAcentral's name for it is "partial 16S ribosomal RNA". It matches the Rfam family "Bacterial small subunit ribosomal RNA", at positions 30 to 507 of the family's 1533-position model. The record is from RNAcentral.